This 438-nucleotide ribosomal RNA is filed under the name uncultured bacterium. Its description in RNAcentral is "partial 16S ribosomal RNA". It matches the Rfam family "Bacterial small subunit ribosomal RNA", at positions 339 to 795 of the family's 1533-position model. The record is from RNAcentral.
CUAUGGGAUGCACCAGUGAGGAAUAUUGCACAAUGGGGGGAACCCUGAUGCAGCAACGCCGCGUGGAGGAUGACGCAUUUCGGUGUGUAAACUCCUUUUAUAUGUCAAGAAAAUGACGGUAGCAUAUGAAUAAGCACCGGCUAACUCCGUGCCAGCAGCCGCGGUAAUACGGAGGGUGCAAGCGUUACUCGGAAUCACUGGGCGUAAGGACGCGUAGGCGGGUUGGAAAGUCAGGUGUGAAAUCCUACAGCUUAACUGUAGAACUGCACUUGAAACUUCUAAUCUAGAGUAUGGGAGGGGGAGAUGGAAUUAGUGGUGUAGGGGUAAAAUCCGUAGAUAUCACUAGGAAUACCUAAAGCGAAGGCGAUCUCCUGGAACAUUACUGACGCUAAGGCGUGAAAGCGUGGGGAGCAAACAGGAUUAGAUACCCCCGUAGUC